AUGCAAUUGGUACAGUCUAGCAAGACUGCGAUAAACAUUAACGGAGAGGUGGGACUUUUCUUUGCGGCAUCAGUGGGGGUGAAGCAAGGGGACCCGAUAUCCCCCCUUCUCUUCAACCUUGCCGUGGACGCGUUGGCAGGUAUCCUGGACAAGGCUAGGCAUGCCAACCACAUCUCGGGGGUGGUCGGCCACCUCAUUCUGGGAGGGGGGGUCACUCACCUUCAGUACACCGAUGACACCAUGAUUAUGGUGGAAGGCUCUGCCCUUGACAUAGUUAACCUUAAGUUCCUACUCCUCUGCUUUGAGGCUAUGUCGGGACUCAAGAUUAACUUUGACAAGAGCGAGGUCAUCGUUUUAGGUUACCCAACUGAGGACCAACAGAGGAUUGCGGAUAAUCUAAAUUGCAGGCUAACAUCCUUCCCCAUUACAUACUUGGGGAUGCCGUUGGCAGACUCGAAGAUCCUGACAAGUGCAUUCGACCCGCUAGUGGGACGAGUGGCCUCUCGGGCCGAGCCCUGGCGAGGACGGUUUACCUCCAAGGGGAGUAAAGCGGUCCUGAUUAGCUCGAACCUUGCGAGCCUCCCCAUGUUUAUGAUGGGGCUGUACAUUCUUCCGGAAGGCGUCCAUAGUGCCUUCGAUAAGGACCUCGCUAGGUUCUUUUGGCAGGCGGCCAAUGGCCGCCAAAAAUACCACAUGGUAAUGGGCGGAUAUCUGCAUGCCUAA
RNAcentral lists this ribosomal RNA (723 nucleotides) under Triticum aestivum (bread wheat). Its description in RNAcentral is "partial small subunit ribosomal RNA". The record is from RNAcentral. Lineage: Eukaryota; Viridiplantae; Streptophyta; Magnoliopsida; Poales; Poaceae.